ACCAUGGCUGUGUUAGCUUAGCUAACAGCAGCGUUAGUUAAUCUACUACAGCGAUCACUUAUCAAUAAUCAGAAAAUAAACAUCGAGCCUGAAAACAUGAAACUGUAUCAGACUGAAUGUUCUUUGAGAAAUGUUGGAGUGUUUUUGGUGUUGAAUCCUGAUACAAAUAUCAACGUUUUCUUUGGUUGUUAUGGCAACCAGUCGAUGCAGAGUGAGAAAAAAGUGGCCUUGACUUAUUUUUCAACAGUUUUCUGCGUUAUUUACCCUUUGCUGUGGCACGCCGCACUGGAUAAAACCAGCUUCAUCUCCAGGGGAGCGUGGAAGAGGAGGAGAAACGGAGCAGGAGGAGGAACGUCCGAUCGAUCAGCCUUUGAUGAUCAAGUGAGGCUGCGUAGUCUCCUGCCUGCGACUGAACGGCGGAGGGAGCAACAGGAAGGUCGCUGGCGGACUGCGAUCCCGUCUUCCCCCCGUUAACGAGAUGACGGAGCAAAUGUCUGUCGCUCACUCAUUGUGAAACCUUUCCUGCAUGGCUGCUGAGCAUCGCUUUCACUAGCCAGCUCAGCUUUAAAUACCAGAGCAGAAGCUCGAAAUGGGAAAUGCCGCCGCAGGUCGA
Molecule: long non-coding RNA, 613 nt
Organism: Gambusia affinis (western mosquitofish)
Lineage: Eukaryota; Metazoa; Chordata; Actinopteri; Cyprinodontiformes; Poeciliidae
Exons: 3
Source: RefSeq, a predicted model, not a curated record